CCUACGGGUGGCAGCAGUCGAGAAUCAUUCACAAUGGGGGAAACCCUGAUGGUGCGACGCCGCGUGGGGGAAUGAAGGUCUUCGGAUUGUAAACCCCUGUCAUGUGGGAGCAAAUUAAAAAGAUAGUACCACAAGAGGAAGAGACGGCUAACUCUGUGCCAGCAGCCGCGGUAAUACAGAGGUCUCAAGCGUUGUUCGGAAUCACUGGGCGUAAAGCGUGCGUAGGCUGUUUCGUAAGUCGUGUGUGAAAGGCCCGGGCCCAACCCGCGGACUGCACAUGAUACUGCGAGGAUAGAGGAAUGGGAGGGGAACCGGAAUUCUCGGUGUAGCAGUGAAAUGCGUAGAUAUCGAGAGGAACACUCGUGGCGAAGGCGGGUUCCUGGACAUUAACUGACGCUGAGGCACGAAGGCCAGGGGAGCGAAAGGGAUUAGAUACCCGUGUAGUC
RNAcentral lists this ribosomal RNA (446 nucleotides) under uncultured bacterium. RNAcentral describes it as "partial 16S ribosomal RNA". It matches the Rfam family "Bacterial small subunit ribosomal RNA", at positions 338 to 795 of the family's 1533-position model. The record is from RNAcentral.